UUUGUCCGGCGUGCUGCUGGUGAUUCCUUAGCCAGCAAAUAAAGUAGAGGAGCUGAAAUAACAGCUGGAGCAUACCAGUCAUAGAUCCACUGGACUCAGCUGAGCAAAGCUGAAUUUUCCUCAAGGUCUUUGACCAAGUGUAUCAACACCAGGAUUUCCUUGUCCCUUUUUGGCAAAGACAAGCAGCAGAGUUCCCUUUUCAUUCCAACUAUGGAGAAAGAUUAACCACUCCAUCAAGAGGGAUGCUGUCUUGAAAAGGUGAUGAUCCAUCACAGAAACAUGUGUCAGUCCUCAUGCUAUGUCAGGCUUUCCAACAGACAAGCGCAAUAAGCACCCUGCUGCUUCUGUGUUACCAGUUCUUGCAAGACACAGAAUAUUAAUAAGGUCACUCUGCCUUAGUCAUGCCCUACGAGGAAGGAACUAUGGCUGCUUUAUGAGAAGCCAAGCGACUUAAAAGUGWUUCAUCCAAGUAGCUGGUGGCAAUCCCAGCAAGAAGAUGAGGACAACCUGCUGGAUCCACGAACUCCAGGGAGUUGCCUGCAAUUGGAUUUGGUGUAUGGG
Molecule: long non-coding RNA, 561 nt
Filed under: Dromaius novaehollandiae (emu)
Lineage: Eukaryota; Metazoa; Chordata; Aves; Casuariiformes; Dromaiidae
Description: lncRNA (ENSDNVG00000006931.1)
Source: RNAcentral